This 822-nucleotide ribosomal RNA is filed under the name uncultured bacterium. RNAcentral's name for it is "bacterial SSU rRNA". It matches the Rfam family "Bacterial small subunit ribosomal RNA", at positions 636 to 1457 of the family's 1533-position model. The record is from RNAcentral.
UNUGACUUGAGUGCAGAAGGGGAGAGUGGAAUUCCAUGUGUAGCGGUGAAAUGCGUAGAUAUAUGGAGGAACACCAGUGGCGAAAGCGGCUCUCUGGUCUGUCACUGACGCUGAGGCUCGAAAGCGUGGGUAGCGAACAGGAUUAGAUACCCUGGUAGUNCACGCCGUAAACGAUGAGUGCUAGGUGUUAGGCCCUUUCCGGGGCUUAGUGCCGGAGCUAACGCAAUAAGCACUCCGCCUGGGGAGUACGACCGCAAGGUUGAAACUCAAAGGAAUUGACGGGGGCCCGCACAAGCGGUGGAGCAUGUGGUUUAAUUCGAAGCAACGCGAAGAACCUUACCAGGUCUUGACAUCCCGAUGCUAUUCUUAGAGAUAGGAAGUUACUUCGGUACAUCGGAGACAGGUGGUGCAUGGUUGUCGUCAGCUCGUGUCGUGGGAUGUUGGGCUAAGUCCCGCAACGAGCGCAACCCUUAUUGUUAGUUGCCAUCAUUAAGUUGGGCACUCUAGCGAGACUGCCGGUAAUAAACCGGAGGAAGGUGGGGAUGACGUCAAAUCAUCAUGCCCCUUAUGACCUGGGCUACACACGUGCUACAAUGGUCGGUACAACGAGUUGCGAGCCGGUGACGGCAAGCUAAUCUCUGAAAGCCGAUCUCAGUUCGGAUUGGAGGCUGCAACUCGCCUCCAUGAAGUCGGAAUCGCUAGUAAUCGCGGAUCAGCACGCCGCGGUGAAUACGUUCCCGGGCCUUGUACACACCGCCCGUCACACCACGAGAGUUUGUAACACCCGAAGUCGGUGAGGUAACCUUUUAGGGGCCAGCCGCC